CAGCAUUACAGCUCUUGUGGAAUUAGUCCAGCAGAUUUCUUAGUUUUCACUGGAAAACCUUA
RNAcentral lists this small nuclear RNA (62 nucleotides) under Colobus angolensis palliatus. RNAcentral's name for it is "U7 small nuclear RNA (ENSCANG00000013708.1)". It matches the Rfam family "U7 small nuclear RNA". Rfam says of the family: Animal histone pre-mRNAs are spliced by a different mechanism than nuclear pre-mRNAs and self-splicing introns. This processing involves the U7 snRNP, which contains only one RNA species: U7. The 5' end of U7 RNA is thought to base-pair to a conserved spacer element downstream of the cleavage site in histone pre-mRNA. The record is from Rfam by way of RNAcentral. Lineage: Eukaryota; Metazoa; Chordata; Mammalia; Primates; Cercopithecidae. RNAcentral also lists the same sequence under 1 other name.